GAACCUGAAACCGUGUACGUACAAGCAGUGGGAGCCUCUUUUAUGGGGUGACUGCGUACCUUUUGUAUAAUGGGUCAGCGACUUAUAUUCUGUAGCAAGGUUAACCGAAUAGGGGAGCCGAAGGGAAACCGAGUCUUAACUGGGCGUUAAGUUGCAGGGUAUAGACCCGAAACCCGGUGAUCUAGCCAUGGGCAGGUUGAAGGUUGGGUAACACUAACUGGAGGACCGAACCGACUAAUGUUGAAAAAUUAGCGGAUGACUUGUGGCUGGGGGUGAAAGGCCAAUCAAACCGGGAGAUAGCUGGUUCUCCCCGAAAGCUAUUUAGGUAGCGCCUCGUGAAUUCAUCUCCGGGGGUAGAGCACUGUUUCGGCAAGGGGGUCAUCCCGACUUACCAACCCGAUGCAAACUGCGAAUACCGGAGAAUGUUAUCACGGGAGACACACGGCGGGUGCUAACGUCCGUCGUGAAGAGGGAAACAACCCAGACCGCCAGCUAAGGUCCCAAAGUCAUGGUUAAGUGGGAAACGAUGUGGGAAGGCCCAGACAGCCAGGAUGUUGGCUUAGAAGCAGCCAUCAUUUAAAGAAAGCGUAAUAGCUCACUGGUCGAGUCGGCCUGCGCGGAAGAUGUAACGGGGCUAAACCAUGCACCGAAGCUGCGGCAGCGACGCUUAUGCGUUGUUGGGUAGGGGAGCGUUCUGUAAGCCUGCGAAGGUGUACUGUGAGGUAUGCUGGAGGUAUCAGAAGUGCGAAUGCUGACAUAAGUAACGAUAAAGCGGGUGAAAAGCCCGCUCGCCGGAAGACCAAGGGUUCCUGUCCAACGUUAAUCGGGGCAGGGUGAGUCGACCCCUAAGGCGAGGCCGAAAGGCGUAGUCGAUGGGAAACAGGUUAAUAUUCCUGUACUUGGUGUUACUGCGAAGGGGGGACGGAGAAGGCUAUGUUGGCCGGGCGACGGUUGUCCCGGUUUAAGCGUGUAGGCUGGUUUUCCAGGCAAAUCCGGAAAAUCAAGGCUGAGGCGUGAUGACGAGGCACUACGGUGCUGAAGCAACAAAUGCCCUGCUUCCAGGAAAAGCCUCUAAGCAUCAGGUAACAUCAAAUCGUACCCCAAACCGACACAGGUGGUCAGGUAGAGAAUACCAAGGCGCUUGAGAGAACUCGGGUGAAGGAACUAGGCAAAAUGGUGCCGUAACUUCGGGAGAAGGCACGCUGAUAUGUAGGUGAAGUCCCUCGCGGAUGGAGCUGAAAUCAGUCGAAGAUACCAGCUGGCUGCAACUGUUUAUUAAAAACACAGCACUGUGCAAACACGAAAGUGGACGUAUACGGUGUGACGCCUGCCCGGUGCCGGAAGGUUAAUUGAUGGGGUUAGCGCAAGCGAAGCUCUUGAUCGAAGCCCCGGUAAACGGCGGCCGUAACUAUAACGGUCCUAAGGUAGCGAAAUUCCUUGUCGGGUAAGUUCCGACCUGCACGAAUGGCGUAAUGAUGGCCAGGCUGUCUCCACCCGAGACUCAGUGAAAUUGAACUCGCUGUGAAGAUGCAGUGUACCCGCGGCAAGACGGAAAGACCCCGUGAACCUUUACUAUAGCUUGACACUGAACAUUGAGCCUUGAUGUGUAGGAUAGGUGGGAGGCUUAGAAGUGUGGACGCCAGUCUGCAUGGAGCCGACCUUGAAAUACCACCCUUUAAUGUUUGAUGUUCUAACGUUGACCCGUAAUCCGGGUUGCGGACAGUGUCUGGUGGGUAGUUUGACUGGGGCGGUCUCCUCCUAAAGAGUAACGGAGGAGCACGAAGGUUGGCUAAUCCUGGUCGGACAUCAGGAGGUUAGUGCAAUGGCAUAAGCCAGCUUGACUGCGAGCGUGACGGCGCGAGCAGGUGCGAAAGCAGGUCAUAGUGAUCCGGUGGUUCUGAAUGGAAGGGCCAUCGCUCAACGGAUAAAAGGUACUCCGGGGAUAACAGGCUGAUACCGCCCAAGAGUUCAUAUCGACGGCGGUGUUUGGCACCUCGAUGUCGGCUCAUCACAUCCUGGGGCUGAAGUAGGUCCCAAGGGUAUGGCUGUUCGCCAUUUAAAGUGGUACGCGAGCUGGGUUUAGAACGUCGUGAGACAGUUCGGUCCCUAUCUGCCGUGGGC
RNAcentral lists this ribosomal RNA (2121 nucleotides) under Escherichia coli. RNAcentral describes it as "partial 23S ribosomal RNA". It matches the Rfam family "Bacterial large subunit ribosomal RNA", at positions 546 to 2652 of the family's 2925-position model. The record is from RNAcentral. Lineage: Bacteria; Pseudomonadati; Pseudomonadota; Gammaproteobacteria; Enterobacterales; Enterobacteriaceae.